Molecule: microRNA precursor, 61 nt
Filed under: Pristionchus pacificus
Lineage: Eukaryota; Metazoa; Nematoda; Chromadorea; Rhabditida; Neodiplogasteridae
Description: mir-8364 microRNA precursor family
Rfam family: mir-8364 microRNA precursor family
Source: Rfam by way of RNAcentral
UCUUCAUUUCUCGUACUCUCUCACCGGUCAGAGUGACGAGAGUGUACGUGAAAUGGGGAGA